Molecule: ribosomal RNA, 440 nt
Filed under: uncultured bacterium
Lineage: Bacteria
Description: partial 16S ribosomal RNA
Rfam family: Bacterial small subunit ribosomal RNA
Source: RNAcentral
CCUACGGGUGGCAGCAGUAGGGAAUAUUGGUCAAUGGGGGAAACUCUGAAGCAGCAACGCCGCGUGGAGGAUGAAGGUUUUCGGAGUGUAAACUCCUUUUGUUAGAGAAGAAAAUGAAGGUACCUAACGAAUAAGGAACGGCUAACUCCGUGCCAGCAGCCGCGGCAAUACGGAGGGUGCAAGCGUUACACGGAACCACUGGGCGGAAAGAGCGCGUAGGCGGGAUAGAAAGUGAGAUGUGAAAUCCUAAGGUUUAACCAUAGAACUGCAUUUGAGACUGUUAAUCUAGAGGAUGUGAGGGGUAGGUGGAAUGCUUGGUGUAGGGGUAAAAUCCGUAGAGAUCAAGAGGAAUACUCAUUGCGAAGGCGACCUGCUAGACCAUUACUGACGCUGAUGCGCGAAAGCGUGGGGAGCAAACAGGAUUAGAUACCCCGGUAGUC